UACGUAGGGGGCAAGCGUUGUCCGGAAUCAUUGGGCGUAAAGAGCGUGUAGGCGGCCCGGUAAGUCCACUGUGAAAGUCCAGGGCUCAACCCUGGGAUGCCGGUGGAUACUGUCGGGCUCGAGUCCGGAAGAGGAGUGUGGAAUUCCUGGUGUAGCGGUGAAAUGCGCAGAUAUCAGGAGGAACACCAAUGGCGAAGGCAGCACUCUGGGACGUGACUGACGCUGAGACGCGAAAGCGUGGGGAGCAAACAGG
Molecule: ribosomal RNA, 253 nt
Filed under: uncultured bacterium
Lineage: Bacteria
Description: partial 16S ribosomal RNA
Rfam family: Bacterial small subunit ribosomal RNA
Source: RNAcentral